GCCAGGUGUGGUGGCACGUGCAUUAGUCCCAGCUACUCGGGAGGCUGAGGUGGGAGGAUCGCUUGAGCCUAGGAGUUCUGGGCUGUGGUGCGCUGUGCCGAUCGGGUGUCCACACUAAGUUCGGCAUCAAUAUGGUUACCUCCGGGGAGCAGGGGAUCACCAGGUUGCCUAAGGAGGGGUGAACCGGCCCAGAUCAGAAACAGAGCAGGUCAAAACUCUGGUGCUGAUCAGUAGUGGGAUCACACCUGUGAAUGGCCACUGCACUCCAGCCUGGGCAACAUAGUGAGACCCCAUCUCA
Molecule: signal recognition particle RNA, 298 nt
Filed under: Cebus imitator (Panamanian white-faced capuchin)
Lineage: Eukaryota; Metazoa; Chordata; Mammalia; Primates; Cebidae
Description: Metazoan signal recognition particle RNA (ENSCCAG00000009764.1)
Rfam family: Metazoan signal recognition particle RNA
About the family: The signal recognition particle (SRP) is a universally conserved ribonucleoprotein. It is involved in the co-translational targeting of proteins to membranes.
Source: RNAcentral